Molecule: ribosomal RNA, 837 nt
Filed under: Couchioplanes sp. IM-2175
Lineage: Bacteria; Bacillati; Actinomycetota; Actinomycetes; Micromonosporales; Micromonosporaceae
Description: bacterial SSU rRNA
Rfam family: Bacterial small subunit ribosomal RNA
Source: RNAcentral
GGCGGCGUGCUUAACACAUGCAAGUCGAGCGGAAAGGCUCUUUCGGGGGUACUCGAGCGGCGAACGGGUGAGUAACACGUGAGUAACCUGCCCUGGACUUUGGGAUAACCCUCGGAAACGGGGGCUAAUACCGAAUACGACCUGCGCCCGCAUGGGUGUGGGUGGAAAGUUUUUUCGGUCUGGGAUGGGCUCGCGGCCUAUCAGCUUGUUGGUGGGGUGAUGGCCUACCAAGGCGACGACGGGUAGCCGGCCUGAGAGGGCGACCGGCCACACUGGGACUGAGACACGGCCCAGACUCCUACGGGAGGCAGCAGUGGGGAAUAUUGCACAAUGGGCGGAAGCCUGAUGCAGCGACGCCGCGUGAGGGAUGACGGCCUUCGGGUUGUAAACCUCUUUCAGCAGGGACGAAGCGCAAGUGACGGUACCUGCAGAAGAAGCGCCGGCCAACUACGUGCCAGCAGCCGCGGUAAGACGUAGGGCGCGAGCGUUGUCCGGAUUUAUUGGGCGUAAAGAGCUCGUAGGCGGCUUGUCGCGUCGACCGUGAAAACUCGCAGCUCAACUGCGAGCCUGCGGUCGAUACGGGCAGGCUAGAGUUCGGUAGGGGAGACUGGAAUUCCUGGUGUAGCGGUGAAAUGCGCAGAUAUCAGGAGGAACACCGGUGGCGAAGGCGGGUCUCUGGGCCGAUACUGACGCUGAGGAGCGAAAGCGUGGGGAGCGAACAGGAUUAGAUACCUGGUAGUCCACGCUGUAAACGUUGGGCGCUAGGUGUGGGGGGCCUCUCCGGUUCUCUGUGCCGCAGCUAACGCAUUAAGCGCCCCGCCUGGGGAGUACGGCCGC